This 331-nucleotide ribosomal RNA is filed under the name uncultured bacterium. Its description in RNAcentral is "bacterial SSU rRNA". It matches the Rfam family "Bacterial small subunit ribosomal RNA", at positions 568 to 898 of the family's 1533-position model. The record is from RNAcentral.
CGCGUAGGCGGUUUUUUAAGUCAGAUGUGUAAUCCCCGAGCUCAACUUGGGAACUGCAUCUGAGACUGGAAGGCUAGAGUACUGGAGAGGGUGGUGGAAUUCCUCGUGUAGCGGUGAAAUGCGUAGAGAUGAGGAGGAACACCAGUGGCGAAGGCGGCCACCUGGACAGUAACUGACGCUGAGGCGCGAAAGUGUGGGUAGCAAACAGGAUUAGAUACCCUGGUAGUCCACGCUGUAAACGAUGAACACUUGGUGUGGAGGGAGUUGACCCCCUUCGUGCCGGAGCUAACGCGUUAAGUGUUCCGCCUGGGGAUACGGUCGCAAGGCUGAA